Molecule: ribosomal RNA, 496 nt
Filed under: uncultured bacterium
Lineage: Bacteria
Description: partial 16S ribosomal RNA
Rfam family: Bacterial small subunit ribosomal RNA
Source: RNAcentral
ACGAACGCUGGCGGCGUGCCUAAUACAUGCAAGUAGAACGCUGAAGAGAGGAGCUUGCUCUUCUUGGAUGAGUUGCGAACGGGUGAGUAACGCGUAGGUAACCUGCCUGGUAGCGGGGGAUAACUAUUGGAAACGAUAGCUAAUACCGCAUAAAAUGGAUUAUCGCAUGAUAAUCCAUUGAAAGGUGCAAAUGCAUCACUACCAGAUGGACCUGCGUUGUAUUAGCUAGUUGGUGGGGUAACGGCUCACCAAGGCGACGAUACAUAGCCGACCUGAGAGGGUGAUCGGCCACACUGGGACUGAGACACGGCCCAGACUCCUACGGGAGGCAGCAGUAGGGAAUCUUCGGCAAUGGACGGAAGUCUGACCGAGCAACGCCGCGUGAGUGAAGAAGGUUUUCGGAUCGUAAAGCUCUGUUGUAAGAGAAGAACGAGUGUGAGAGUGGAAAGUUCACACUGUGACGGUAUCUGACCAGAAAGGGACGGCUAACUACGUG